UAGUGGCGAACGGGUGAGUAACACGUGAGUAACCUGCCCUUGACUCUGGGAUAAGCCUGGGAAACUGGGUCUAAUACCGGAUACGACCAUUCCACGCAUGUGGUGGUGGUGGAAAGCUUUUGUGGUUUUGGAUGGACUCGCGGCCUAUCAGCUUGUUGGUGGGGUAAUGGCCUACCAAGGCGACGACGGGUAGCCGGCCUGAGAGGGUGACCGGCCACACUGGGACUGAGACACGGCCCAGACUCCUACGGGAGGCAGCAGUGGGGAAUAUUGCACAAUGGGCGCAAGCCUGAUGCAGCGACGCCGCGUGAGGGAUGACGGCCUUCGGGUUGUAAACCUCUUUCAGUAGGGAAGAAGCGUAAGUGACGGUACCUGCAGAAGAAGCGCCGGCUAACUACGUGCCAGCAGCCGCGGUAAUACGUAGGGCGCAAGCGUUAUCCGGAAUUAUUGGGCGUAAAGAGCUCGUAGGCGGUUUGUCGCGUCUGCUGUGAAAGACCGGGGCUCAACUCCGGUUCUGCAGUGGGUACGGGCAGACUAGAGUGCAGUAGGGGAGACUGGAAUUCCUGGUGUAGCGGUGAAAUGCGCAGAUAUCAGGAGGAACACCGAUGGCGAAGGCAGGUCUCUGGGCUGUAACUGACGCUGAGGAGCGAAAGCAUGGGGAGCGAACAGGAUUAGAUACCCUGGUAGUCCAUGCCGUAAACGUUGGGCACUAGGUGUGGGGGACAUUCCACGUUUUCCGCGCCGUAGCUAACGCAUUAAGUGCCCCGCCUGGGGAGUACGGCCGCAAGGCUAAAACUCAAAGGAAUUGACGGGGGCCCGCACAAGCGGCGGAGCAUGCGGAUUAAUUCGAUGCAACGCGAAGAACCUUACCAAGGCUUGACAUGAACCGGAAAGACCUGGAAACAGGUGCCCCGCUUGCGGUCGGUUUACAGGUGGUGCAUGGUUGUCGUCAGCUCGUGUCGUGAGAUGUUGGGUUAAGUCCCGCAACGAGCGCAACCCUCGUUCUAUGUUGCCAGCGCGUGAUGGCGGGGACUCAUAGGAGACUGCCGGGGUCAACUCGGAGGAAGGUGGGGACGACGUCAAAUCAUCAUGCCCCUUAUGUCUUGGGCUUCACGCAUGCUACAAUGGCCGGUACAAAGGGUUGCGAUACUGUGAGGUGGAGCUAAUCCCAAAAAGCCGGUCUCAGUUCGGAUUGGGGUCUGCAACUCGACCCCAUGAAGUCGGAGUCGCUAGUAAUCGCAGAUCAG
This 1247-nucleotide ribosomal RNA is filed under the name Arthrobacter sp. D6r1-1. Its description in RNAcentral is "bacterial SSU rRNA". It matches the Rfam family "Bacterial small subunit ribosomal RNA", at positions 93 to 1352 of the family's 1533-position model. Lineage: Bacteria; Bacillati; Actinomycetota; Actinomycetes; Micrococcales; Micrococcaceae. The record is from RNAcentral.